UACAGAGGUCCCGAGCGUUGUUCGGAUUUAUUGGGCGUAAAGCGCACGUAGGCGGCUUGGUAUGUCGGGUGUGAAAUCCCCGGGCUCAACCUGGGAACUGCAUCCGAAACUGCCUUGCUAGAGUAUGGGAGAGGGAAGUGGAAUUUCCGGUGUAGCGGUGAAAUGCGUAGAUAUCGGAAGGAACAUCAGUGGCGAAGGCGACUUCCUGGACCAAUACUGACGCUCAGGUGCGAAAGCGUGGGGAGCAAACAGG
Molecule: ribosomal RNA, 253 nt
Filed under: uncultured bacterium
Lineage: Bacteria
Description: partial 16S ribosomal RNA
Rfam family: Bacterial small subunit ribosomal RNA
Source: RNAcentral